CCAAUAGCGUAUAUUAAAGUUGCUGCAGUUAAAAAGCUCGUAGUUGAAUUUCGGAACCAAUAUGUUGGUCGUGCCUCGGUACGUACUGGCAUUGUUGGUUUCUCCCUUCUGACGAACCAUGAUGUCAUUUAUUUGGUGUUGUGGGAAAUCAGGACUGUUACUUUGAAAAAAUUAGAGUGUUUAAAGCAGGCUCACGCUUGAAUACAUUAGCAUGGAAUAAUGAAAUAGGAUGUUUGAUUCUAUUUUGUUGGUUUCUAGGAUCGACGUAAUGAUUAAUAGGGAUAGUUGGGUGCAUUAGUAUUCAAUUGUCAGAGGUGAAAUUCUUGGAUUUAUUGAAGACUAACUACUGCGAAAGCAUUUGCCAAGGAUGUUUUCAUUAAUCAAGAACGAAAGUUAGGGGAUCGAAGACGAUCAGAUACCGUCGUAGUCUUAACCAUAAACUAUGCCGACUAGGGAUCGGAUGAUGUUAAUUUUUUAAUGACUCAUUCGGCGCCUUACG
Molecule: ribosomal RNA, 499 nt
Filed under: uncultured Glomeromycotina
Lineage: Eukaryota; Fungi; Glomeromycota
Description: partial small subunit ribosomal RNA
Rfam family: Eukaryotic small subunit ribosomal RNA
Source: RNAcentral